Molecule: transfer RNA, 69 nt
Filed under: Xylaria palmicola
Lineage: Eukaryota; Fungi; Ascomycota; Sordariomycetes; Xylariales; Xylariaceae
Description: tRNA-Lys
Rfam family: tRNA
About the family: Transfer RNA (tRNA) molecules are approximately 80 nucleotides in length. Their secondary structure includes four short double-helical elements and three loops (D, anti-codon, and T loops).
Source: RNAcentral
GCCCGGUUAGCUCAAUCGGUAGAGCGUGAGACUCUUAAUCUCAAGGUUGCGGGUGAGUAGCACCAGCCC